GUCGCUUUUGCUGGAUUCGACAAGAAGAGAGCUAGGAGAGAAAGAACAUGACAGGAGCUUCGGACUGAGAAACUUCAGGUACAUCGAGGAGAUCAAGGAAGCUCUAGAGAGGGAGUGUCCUGGUGUUGUCUCAUGUUCUGACAUUCUCGUCUUGUCGGCAAGAGAAGGAAUCGAAGCAGUAAGUUAAAACAAGUCGUGCCGUUUCUGUCUCUGGUUGUGAAACUGCAUGUUUUCUUUUUAGGGAAUGUUUUGUAAAGUAGGUUUGUUUGUGUAGGUGGGAGGACCAUAUAUUCCUUUGAAGACAGGAAGGAGAGAUGGACUUAAAAGCAGGACCGAUAUGCUUGAGUCAUAUCUUCCCGACCACAACGAGAGUAUCUCCGUCGUUCUUGACAAGUUCAAAUCCAUCGGAAUCGACACUCCCGGCCUCGUUGCUCUCCUAGGUACCUUUACCUUUCUCUUCCUUGUUUGUCACUCACUAGUCUCGGGUAAAAACGUAUCGCUCGAAAUUCGAAACUGUUGACCAUCCAAGAAAUGUUGUUGGCUUGUUGCUAACGCCUUAGUUCAAGGGUAUUUUAGUUAAUUUCCUCAUGCAUUAAAAUGAAACCAUUUAAGCUAAUCUUGUCAAAUCACGAAAGUAGUAUGCUAUCUGAGUCGGAAAGUUGAAAGUUAUCCUUACCGAACUAUCACUAGUCCUCAGAAAAAGACAAAUUUAUUCUUGUUUAUGCUCCGGCUCAAUGGUCUAGCAGAAGGUUAUUCUGGUCAAUCAACUCAUGCAUGCUUAAAAAUAGUAAUCAAACUAAUUGACUUUACACUUAUGGGAUCUGAAUUUAGGCGAUCGGAAUUUAAGUUUCUUGUUAGAUUUUUUAAGCUUCGAUAUUGAAA
RNAcentral lists this long non-coding RNA (882 nucleotides) under Arabidopsis lyrata. RNAcentral describes it as "long non-coding RNA (ALYR_LNC000857)". The record is from RNAcentral. Lineage: Eukaryota; Viridiplantae; Streptophyta; Magnoliopsida; Brassicales; Brassicaceae.